RNAcentral lists this long non-coding RNA (263 nucleotides) under Manihot esculenta (cassava). RNAcentral's name for it is "long non-coding RNA (MESC_LNC001920)". Lineage: Eukaryota; Viridiplantae; Streptophyta; Magnoliopsida; Malpighiales; Euphorbiaceae. The record is from RNAcentral.
GCAACCAAACGCCACCAUCUCCUCCUCCACCACCACCACCACCAUCCAUAUCUAACUGCCCACCCCCACCAUCUCCUCCGACUUCAUCUGGUUCGUACUACUACUCUCCACCACCACCCUCCACUUACACCUACUCCUCUCCUCCACCACCCUCCACUUACACCUACUCCUCUCCUCCACCACCACCACAGGGUGGUGGCGGAGGAGGCGGCAGCAACUAUUACUAUCCUCCACCAAACUAUAACAACUACGCUGCACCUCCU